AUUCUCCUGCCUCAGCUUCCUGAGUAGCUGGACUACAGGCUCCCGCCACCAUGCCCGGCUAAUUUUUUUGUAUUUUUAGUAGAGACGGGGUUUCAUCGUGUUAGCCGGGAUGGUCGGUCUCGAUCUCCUGACCUCGUGAUCCGCCCGCCUCGGCCUCCCGAAGUGCUGGGAUUACAGGCGUGAGUCACCGCGCCCGGCCAUUCUUCUUGUUUUCAAAUGUGUAUUUAACCUUGUUUUCAAAUGUAUGUUUGCAAAUGCAAGUUAUCAGUUUCCUCUCCUGGAUUUUUCUUUUUAAUUUUUGGUGCCAGCACAGGACCUCUCUGUGAUACCUGUGUAUCACAAAGCAAUUCUUGGAAGGCUGUGUGUGGAAUAGCGGGUCUCGGGUAUUCACAGUUGCUUAAGAUACAUGAGAAAGCCUAAAUGUAGUUCCAGUGGCUAGAAUUCCAAGAUCAAGGUGUCAGCAGCAUGGUUCUUUCUGAGAGCUGUGAAGAAGAAUCCGUUCCAUGCCUCUCCCCCAGUUUCUGGUGGUGUGCUGGCAGUCUUUGGCAUUCUUUGGCCUGCAGACGCAUCACCCUAAUCUCAGCCCAGCUCCGGAACGCCUUUCCCAUGUUUGGUGUGUUUUCUACCUAAUGAGUUUUGAUGGAAGUGAAGGCUGUUAUUUACCUCUGGAAGCUAAAAAUACCAGCUCCCUGGUCAUCUCAGAGUUGGUUUCCGAUGCAACUAAAAACAUCAACUGAUAUGAGGUCCAAAAGAUGGAAUUUUAAGCACCAAAGACGCUCCCUUAUGGGCAAAGUCUCAAUAGGACAUCUGCAUGUUCAGUUGAGAUUCUGCUUUCCCCUCAGAUGACAGAAUUAUUGGCAACCAGUUAAAUUGACGCAAUUGGAAACCCAGAAACAUGAUCAACAAAGAUAAGGAGAUGGAGAUACCAGUCACCCCUAUCAAAGUGGCAAGUGGGAGGGGGAUGCUGGUUGGUCUGUCGGAGCUGACGAAGGAAUGGGAUUGGAAUGUUUCUUUUACCAAUUAUGUAAACACAGCCUGGAGUUCCGAGAUGAGUCCAUCUCACUUGCUCAGAACUUUGCCUGGUGAGAGCGGUUACAAGCGAACAAGGUGGAAAUGAAAGAAACCCUGACUUUCCCACUAGGAAGGAAGAGACUGUUCCUUCUUGUGAUGUACUCUGAAGAAAAAUUCUAGGAUUUGGACAGAUUUCUUGGGUUAUAAAACAUGAUUUUCUUCUCUGUUUCUUGGGCUUUUAUAAUGGGUACUGUUGUUUUCUUGCAAAGCUUUAAUGAUUCCAUAAGGACUUGUAUAAAGUUUAUGGGAGAAUUUUCAAUGUAGAUGUGAAUGGCAGAAACCCAAGAAUCUGUGUGAGGUUGAAUAAGAUCCUGUGUCUCCAGAGAGGUCUGAUGGGGAGACACAGAUCUAAAUUUUAAAGGUGGUUUGGGCCUUCUCAAUCAUAUAUUAAGGUCCUUUUAUGUUAUAGAUAAGUAAAUUAAGGCCCAGAAAGAUUAAUAGCCCAAGGUCCCAAGACCUGCUUGAGACCUGUGCCCCAUUUCUGACUAAUAUUCUUCAUGAUAUUGUAUCACUCUGUAUCAAAACCAACCAACCAAUAAAACCAACCAACCAACCAACCAACAGAAAA
Long non-coding RNA from Homo sapiens (human), 1639 nucleotides. Ensembl annotates it as long intergenic non-protein coding RNA 1992. The record is from Ensembl. Lineage: Eukaryota; Metazoa; Chordata; Mammalia; Primates; Hominidae.